AUGGCUGUGGGGCGAUGGCACCUUCCAGCGACGGCGCCGCAAGGCAGUGCGGUGCAGGAUGUUGCAAGGCUGCGGAGGCCGAUGCCAAACUGCAAGCAGCCGCCGCCUGGAGGUUCUCCGACACCGGAGCCCACCUCCUCCUCGCCCACGUCGCCGACGUCCAUCCUCGUCGGAUCCGGUGCCGCGGGGCCUCCCUGCGCCUCCGCCGCCCUGCCAAGUCCGUCUGCUGGAGCCGCCUCUGUCCGCUGCCUGUUCAGUCCCCUACCUCGACCACGUCUGUACGCGUGCGCAAGGGCUGCAAGGCCUAGCAGUGAUUCGUGA
Molecule: ribosomal RNA, 321 nt
Filed under: Triticum aestivum (bread wheat)
Lineage: Eukaryota; Viridiplantae; Streptophyta; Magnoliopsida; Poales; Poaceae
Description: partial small subunit ribosomal RNA
Source: RNAcentral